UAGAAAGUUAGUCUAAUUAAGACG
Molecule: transfer RNA, 24 nt
Filed under: Aethopyga primigenia
Lineage: Eukaryota; Metazoa; Chordata; Aves; Passeriformes; Nectariniidae
Description: partial tRNA-Arg
Source: RNAcentral